CGCGGAGUGGAGCAGUUGGCAGCUCGUCGGGCUCAUAACCCGAAGGUCGUAGGUUCGAGUCCUGCAUCCCCAGCCA
This 76-nucleotide transfer RNA is filed under the name Clostridioides difficile P11. RNAcentral describes it as "tRNA-Met". It matches the Rfam family "tRNA". From Rfam's summary of the family: Transfer RNA (tRNA) molecules are approximately 80 nucleotides in length. Their secondary structure includes four short double-helical elements and three loops (D, anti-codon, and T loops). Further hydrogen bonds mediate the characteristic L-shaped molecular structure. tRNAs have two regions of fundamental functional importance: the anti-codon, which is responsible for specific mRNA codon recognition, and the 3' end, to which the tRNAs corresponding amino acid is attached (by aminoacyl-tRNA synthetases). tRNAs cope with the degeneracy of the genetic code in two manners: having more than one tRNA (with a specific anti-codon) for a particular amino acid; and 'wobble' base-pairing, i.e. permitting non-standard base-pairing at the 3rd anti-codon position. Lineage: Bacteria; Bacillati; Bacillota; Clostridia; Peptostreptococcales; Peptostreptococcaceae. The record is from RNAcentral.